GUACCUGAACACCUCACGGUACACAUCUACUGGCUUUAGAAGCACCAGGAUGUGGUGCUCAAAUUCGGACUGUGUUUAGUGAGCUCCACCAGCCUGAUUCAUCAGAUCUUCAGCUCAGUGGGCUGGCCUGGGACCGGGCUGUGGGUGUGAUGAUUUCCUGAAGCAUCCUCAGGAAAGCCACAGAUUUAAUUGAGAAACCAGAGAUUUUGGAAUGAUGGUAAGACACAUGUGCAGCACACAAGUAUCCAUACUGUUAAAACACUUCACCUGUACAGCAAACUUCUACAGACAGGCAGGUAAGGUUCGCCAGGAAACAGGGUAAUUGUUUCCUGAAGCGGGUCUCAGUCAUAUGAUGACCAGCCACUGGAGCUUAUGGUCAUCUGACUAAGGCCUUCCACUGGCUUACCCGUCCACCCCCAUAAAAAGUCUAAUAUCAGGCGGAUAUAACAAUAGAGGAGGAAGAAGUGUAGAGGUUAAUCUUGAGGUGAUCAAUCCAUCAAUUCUUUAUUGAAUUCAUGUAAAAACAUGUAGUGGUCUUAACUCUCUCAGAAUCAUUAGAGACACAUUUCCAUUAUCUGGUGAACCUCGGCUGAUGCAGCCAACUGAAGCCAAAUAAAUAAUCUUAAAUACUAUAAUUAACUUUUUAUGA
Non-coding RNA from Cherax quadricarinatus, 649 nucleotides. Lineage: Eukaryota; Metazoa; Arthropoda; Malacostraca; Decapoda; Parastacidae. The record is from RefSeq and is a predicted model, not a curated record.